This 107-nucleotide ribosomal RNA is filed under the name Trichodesmium sp. St11_bin5. RNAcentral describes it as "partial 23S ribosomal RNA". It matches the Rfam family "Bacterial large subunit ribosomal RNA", at positions 2818 to 2925 of the family's 2925-position model. Lineage: Bacteria; Bacillati; Cyanobacteriota; Cyanophyceae; Oscillatoriales; Microcoleaceae. The record is from RNAcentral.
ACGUUAGGUAGGUAAGGUCACGGGAAGACGACCCGUUAAUAGGUGUUAGGUGGAAGUGCAGUAAUGUAUGGAGCCUAGACAUACUAACAGACCGAGGGCUUGACCUC